UCUCUCUCUAGUCUCUUAAGUCUCUUAAUCUCUGUUCUUAAGUCUCUCACAUACUCAUAAACACUCUCAUCAAUCCUUUUCUCUAUAUCACCUAGAACAAGCUCUAAUCAUUCUUCAUUGAAGCUUAUACACAGACACAUACUACCAGAGUAGAGAUCUCUUUAAAAAUCAUAUGGUAUCAGAGCCAGGUUCAUCAGAACCUGAGCUGUAGCUUCCACACAACACCAGCUCUACCCUCAGCUCAAAGCCAAAGCCAAACCUUAAAGACAUGUUCAUCCGGAUCUUGUUUCUUCAAGAGGAAGAAGAAGACUGAAGCCAUGGCGUGUACUCCUUGUCUCUCAGCCAUCCCUACCUGUCCUAAUGAAGAUUCUCACGGGAAGCAAAGGUGUAUGGAGAGGUUGAGUUAUUCUACCUCUAUGGUGCCUUGCUUCAAGAGCUGUUUCUCAUCUGGUUGCCAAAAGAAAGUCAUCUAGAAGUUGGCGUGUUGAAGGCUUGAAGAAAUGAGGGGUUAUUUGGGUGGGGAAUACAAGAUGGUGGCCAUGAACUGAAGGAGAAAGAGAUGGGGGUCAAACCAGGCUCUUAGAUUCAACAAAAUUCAUGGCUGGGUUCAUAAAAUGCAAAAGGAAUCAACCUGGUUCCUUGCUGUUCACAAAAGGUGUUCCUAGUUCAUCAUCAAAUCCGAGUUUAAAGAGAAAAAAUGGUGUCCAUUGUGUGUGCAAUGGAGAGUUACUACAAGAAGGGUGAAGCGCAGAUGGUUGUAAAACCCACUUGAAGCUCACUGGUCUUCCUACUACCAUUGCAAGUAACUGAAGAAGAAGCCAACCGGGUCUAGGCAGUGGCGUGCCUAUUCAAGAGGGUGCUCAAACUAAGACAGAGCACUCUUGGCUGUGUGAAGAAGAAGGCUACUCUAUCAAGGCGGCCUCUAUUGUGAGGUGAUUGAAGAAGUAGCUGAAGCAUCCACAAGCAUUCCAUCAUGGUGGUGAAUUCAGAAGGGUGAUUGCAAUAAGAGAAGAAGAAGAAGUAAGGAUUCAAGUGGUAACUUUGAGAACCAUUUCUCAUCAUCUUAACCAAGGGAGUAAACCUAAUCUCAUCUAUCUUAAUAUGUCUUGAUAGGUUUAUCUUCUGAUUAUACUAUGUGCUUUCCCUAAUUCCAUUAAGAGUUUAUAGCCUCUAGUAGAAUGUCUAGGCUAAUUGCACUGAAAUUGUUUUGCUGCUGCAUUGUCAUAUUGAUAGUAAGUAAUGUUUAGAGUCCCAGAAUCUCAUGUUCUGUUUAUUGCAUUGUCUUGAGGGUUGUCAUAGCUUGAAUCAUCAUGAAUGUGUUGUAGAAUUGAGUAGAAUGUCUCUGCUGCUUGCAUCAUGAUUGAUAAGUUAUUUUGCAUUCAUCAGCAUAUCUCAUACUGUCUAAGUUCAAUCCUAUUGUUAUCUGAUGCUAUUGUCUAUGCUUAAUCCACCAAUGAAAGUCUUGCAUCAAUUAGAAAUUGUCUAAGUUGUUUGCAUCAUUGGUUUUGAUUGAAACUGUUGUGCAUAGCCUUAAUAUUGCGCAUGGAUUGAACCUGUUGCAUUCACAUAGCUAAAGCUUUAAGAUUGUGCAUUCAUAUAAUAAUGCAUUUAAAAAUGAGCCUAAAUUGCAAAUGUACUGAUAAGCUUGCAUUGCAUUUAGAGAACUUAAAAACAGAACUUGUAUUGUCAUUAUUAGAGAUUGAAAUCUACUUGUCUAGAGACUCAGUCCAGUUCUGAUUGUUGCUAUGCCAUAGUUAAAUCCAUCAGUGAUGUCUUAUAAGCACUUAGAAGUAUGUCUAAGCUAUUUGAAUCAUUGGCUUUGAUAAAACUAGUGAGCAUAAGCAUGAAUUGAGUCACUCUUGUCGCCUUGAUUGCAUAAGUAUCAUCUAGACUUGUGUUCAAUUUAGAUUUAAUCUGUUUCAUUCAUAUAGUUAGUGUGUAACCUAAUGCAGUCAUCUAUUGUUGCAUUUAAAAAAAAAAAAA
Long non-coding RNA from Brassica rapa (field mustard), 1983 nucleotides. RefSeq lists it as uncharacterized. NCBI's taxonomy places the organism in Eukaryota, Viridiplantae, Streptophyta, Magnoliopsida, Brassicales, Brassicaceae. The record is from RefSeq and is a predicted model, not a curated record.